UGUAAACACUCAACCCUAGAUGCUGCC
This 27-nucleotide non-coding RNA is filed under the name Homo sapiens (human). Lineage: Eukaryota; Metazoa; Chordata; Mammalia; Primates; Hominidae. The record is from RNAcentral.